GCUUUUCUCGUCUCGUCGUCGAUUCAAGGUCAGGCUCUUCAUAGUCUUGUUAAUUUCCUUACUAAUGGCUUCUUUAACCCUCUCUAAUUCCUACAAAGCUCGGGUUUAUCACAUUUUUCCGAGACUUUCACUCCCCUAUUUCCGCAGUCCUCUCCAUUUCUGCACUUCAACCCAAGAUCCAAUCUCCUGUGUCACAGAAAUCCCGCCACCUAUUCCAC
RNAcentral lists this unclassified non-coding RNA (218 nucleotides) under Hevea brasiliensis (rubber tree). Lineage: Eukaryota; Viridiplantae; Streptophyta; Magnoliopsida; Malpighiales; Euphorbiaceae. The record is from RNAcentral.